RNAcentral lists this ribozyme (75 nucleotides) under unclassified sequences. RNAcentral describes it as "pistol ribozyme". It matches the Rfam family "Pistol ribozyme". The record is from RNAcentral.
AGUGGUCUGCACCACUAUAAAAAGACAUUAAGUGCAGAGCGUAGAGAGAGUGUUUAAACAUUCUCUCUGGUUGUU